UCCGAUUUGUGAGCACAAAUUAUUGUUCUCUAUAACAAUAUUUAUGGUUGCCUAAUUUUAACAAUUCAAAUUUUGAAUUGCUCAAGUACCUGCCAAAUGAUCUUAUCGUAUACACUAUUUCCGGAUGCGUAUAAGUCAGAUCAUACAUAAGUUUCUCAAUGCUAAAGCAUAUGGGAAAAUACUUUAUUUUCUAAAUUUCCAGAUUUUCUUUUGGACAAUGAUUGAGACUAGACAGUCUCCCUUUAUGAUUAAGACAAUUCCUUAUUUGACUUUCAUGUCGAAUUUACUUUCAACUUUAUUGAUACGACUCUUUUGUUAUACCCAAAUGAUACAUUGAGAAUAAUUUCUAAGUAUCGAAAUGCCUAAUACAAAACAGAUGUGCCCAAGAUCUUUUGUCACUAAACUUUUGUUAGUGAUUUCUUG
This 423-nucleotide long non-coding RNA is filed under the name Trifolium pratense (red clover). Its description in RNAcentral is "long non-coding RNA (TPRA_LNC005946)". The record is from RNAcentral. Lineage: Eukaryota; Viridiplantae; Streptophyta; Magnoliopsida; Fabales; Fabaceae.